This 253-nucleotide ribosomal RNA is filed under the name uncultured bacterium. RNAcentral describes it as "partial 16S ribosomal RNA". It matches the Rfam family "Bacterial small subunit ribosomal RNA", at positions 524 to 776 of the family's 1533-position model. The record is from RNAcentral.
UACGGAGGAUCCGAGCGUUAUCCGGAUUUAUUGGGUUUAAAGGGUGCGUAGGCGGUUUGAUAAGUUCGAGGUGAAAUGUCGGGGCUCAACCCCGAAACUGCCUCUAAUACUGUUGGACUAGAGAAUAGUUGCGGUAGGCGGAAUGUAUGGUGUAGCGGUGAAAUGCUUAGAGAUCAUACAGAACACCGAUUGCGAAGGCAGCUUACCAAACUAUAUCUGACGUUGAGGCACGAAAGCGUGGGUAGCAAACAGG